This 2645-nucleotide long non-coding RNA is filed under the name Taeniopygia guttata (zebra finch). RNAcentral's name for it is "lncRNA (ENSTGUG00000020257.1)". Lineage: Eukaryota; Metazoa; Chordata; Aves; Passeriformes; Estrildidae. The record is from RNAcentral.
CUUGACAGCCCCAUCCAGAGAACCUGCACCUUUACAAAACCACUCCAGGGUGAGGAUUUUUUGCCUUCUGUGUAACUGCAUCAUCCCCUGUGGUGAUACAGGACUGUUCCCUCUUGUGUGUUCACUGUGCCUGUCAGACACAGGUUUGCUCCUGUCCCCUUUGUAACCCCUGAAAAGGCCAUGGAAGAGCGCUGCCAGACUUCCAUCAACUCUCUCUGGCCUGACCAGGCUGUUCCCUCUGCUUACUUGAACUGUUAAAACACUUACACUGAGUAGAAUGGCUUUGCAGUGAUUUUAACUCUGCUUGUGUUCUUAAGGAAGAGCAGCAGCUGAAACCACCUUAACAAGGAGAUGUGCUAGAAGGUCUUUUCUGCUGAAAAAAGAAAAAAAAAAUGUUCAAAUUGUAAAAUGUGGACUGAAAAACGUAUCGGUUUCACAUACUAACCAUGCCAUGUGUAAAGCUAGUCUACUGUUUCCUAGACAAUGAGGCUUCAGAGAUGACUGUACCAUCAACAAAAUUAAAUCCCAACCUCUAUUCCAGGAAGCAAGCGAAGUUGUUAUUGCAGAUAAAUUUAAUUUGAGAACUUAAAAAUGCAAACAACUAAAUAAUACCAUCAUGUUCUAUUUGAGAAAAACAAAACAAUACUAAACUUCUGACCUUUUUGACAAAAAGGACACAUCUUGCAUAAGUGUUUCCCAGUCUGGGCGUUUUUUUGCCUGUGUUAUUUUUAUUCCUAGGUUAAACCUGACAGUUGUGCUCAGUAAUCAUUAUGCACUAAGCAUGAGCUGUUCUGAAGUGCUACCAGCGUCACUAGAUCUUGAGUUUUAUGUUGGUUUGGGGUUUUUUUCCAUAUAUCUCAUACAAACAACUCUGGGUAUACGCUUGAGGUUAUUCUCAGCAACAUUUUGCUCCAAAAUUCUCAAAGAGAAAAAGGACAGUUUUUAGGCCUUAAUUAAGGAUACAUUUUAAUUUUUUACAUCCAACAGCAAAAUGAAGCUUAAUUUAUGUAUCAUUCCAAGAUUAAAAAUAUUUACUAUAACUAAUUUUUAGAAAAACUUAAGUAUCUUAAUUUUAUUCACACUGCACAGUUUGGAACAGUAUUCUGAAACGUGGUGCAUCCAAUGAGGGACUGCAGAAAUGAUGUUAGACAAGUAAUGAAUUAGGCAAUUUAUUCUGCAGAAAGGAAUUGCACAUGGGGAAGUAGCUGUACAAAGCAUUCAUUCUUUGUCAGUGACUGCCUUAGAGCUUAGGAAGCUGUGGUUUAGCAUUCUGCUGAAUGAGCUCGUAGCAAAGCCCCAUCCCUAUUCCUCAUUUCCUGGCCUUCCCAUGGACAACUCAGGUCCUAGGAAGUGUGCACAAUGAAAUAAUCCCAAUUCUCUUGAGAAGCCAGCUGUGCCACCCAGUCUGAGCCUCUGAAGAAUCCUUUCUAGUGAUAUGUGUGCCAUUACUGCAAACAAUAAGAAGGAGACAACUAAAAGCAGCAAUUUUUAUUAGAUCAAUAACUCUGAAGCCCAGAAGUAGCACAAGUGAUUUUUUGUUUCUAUUCUAAGAAAAAUAAAUUCCAAUUUCUGGAAGCCAUUCCUCAAUCUCUGAGCUUCAUGAGCUUUCAUCAUAUAUAGUUUGUCUCUUUACUACUAUAAAUGCAAAAAAAGGGGCAAAGUAUUAAUAUAAGCAGUUCUCACUUUAUGGUCUUUUUAAUAAUUUCUCUAAAGUUUAUGUGUUUCGUGACUGAAUACCUCCCCUAUACCUCCCCUUCCUCUUUUCAGCCUCACAGAAAUACUGACAGGGAUGUCACUAUUGAUCAUCAUAAAAAUACAUUUUAAUGUUUUUAUUAACUGGUAGCAGUGGAUAUGAAAAGUGGUAAAAUUAGGUCAUUAACCAAUGUCAAUGAUUGCUGGAGCAAAUAAAUAAAUAUUGGUGUUGUCUCCCACUUACCUUCAUAAAAACCUACAGACCAAAAACACAGAAAAAGGUUGGGUUUAUUCCUGCCAGUAAGAAGAGAACACAUGUUAGAGGUGUGAAUGGGACAAUAAACAAACAUCUGACAUAUUUGGCUGCUUUAACAAGUUAUCCUGAUGAGUACAUAGGUUACUGCACAGGCUGGAUCUGAACACUGGAUCUGGCUGUACAAUUCCAGUCAGGUGUCAGUCAUAAACUCCUUGAAAGCCUUUUGAAGAAGGUAACGUUUCUCAUGUCUGGGUGCACUUCCAGAAGUGAUUAAGCCACUGUCAUUGCCAUACUCUGCCCUUCAGUGGCACAUCUUUGCAUUCCAACUUGGCUGUAGCAUUAGAGCUGCCUGUGAGCGGAGCUGCGAGGAGGAAAUGGCAGCACAGUCAUCCAAGCAGUCCAUGAGUCACAGCCAUAAUGGAAUCCAGGCUUGGAGCUGCAAACGCCAGCUAGGUGAAGGAUUGGGUUCUGGAGUUAGGAAACAGCAAAUUUUGGAAUGCUUUUGAACCUCAGUCUGGGUCAAAGAUUGGCAAAUCAAAAGCUGCUCAUUUGUCAUGACCAGAUUCAGUCAGCUCUCCCUGCUUGCUUUUGUUUCGGCAAACUGAAGCUGCAGAUGCCAUAUGGUUGGAGAAAAAAGGGUUUGGAGGAUGCACGUGUGCUGAUGACAGUAAAAACAAAAUGGCCUUUUACAAAUCAU